AGAGUUUGAUCCUGGCUCAGAACGAACGCUGGCGGCGUGGCUAACCCAUGCAAGUCGCGCGCGAACGAACCCUUCGGGGUCUUAUUAGCGCGGCGGAACGGUGAGUAAUGUAUGGGCAACGUACCCUGGGCACGAGGAUAGACCAUCGAAAGGUGGCGUAAUACUCGAUGAGACCACACGGGGGCAUCCCCGAGCGGUCAAAGGGCGGGGACCCCUUCGGGGGCCUGCCGGCCCGGGAGCGACCCAUAUCCCAUCAGCUUGUUGGUAGGGUAACGGCCUACCAAGGCAACGACGGGUAGCCGGACUGAGAGGUCGACCGGCCACAUUGGGACUGAGACACUGCCCAGACUCCUACGGGAGGCUGCAGGGACGAAUAUUCCGCAAUGGGCGAAAGCCUGACGGAGCGACGCCGCGUGUGGGAAGAAGCCUUUCGGGGUGUAAACCACUGUCAGGGGCCACCAAGCAAAUCCGCCUAAUACGCGGAGGCGUUGAGGAACCCCAAAGGAAGCCACGGCUAACUCCGUGCCAGCAGCCGCGGUAAGACGGAGGUGGCAAGCGUUGUUCGGAAUCACUGGGCUUAAAGAGCACGUAGGCGGCCUGCCAAGCGUCUUGUGAAAUCCCUCGGCUCAACCGAGGAAUUGCUCGGCGAACUGCUUCUCUUGAGGCGGGUAGAGGUGAGUGGAACGACUGGUGGAGCGGUGAAAUGCGUAGAUAUCAGUUGGAACGCCGGUGGCGAAAGCGACUCACUGGAUCCGUCCUGACGCUGAGGUGCGAAAGCGUGGGUAGCGAACAGGAUUAGAUACCCUGGUAGUCCACGCAGUAAACGAUGGACACUUGGUAUAGGGAGUAUCGACCCUCUCUGUGCCUUAGUUAACGCGUUAAGUGUCCCGCCUGGGGAGUACGGCCGCAAGGCUA
RNAcentral lists this ribosomal RNA (915 nucleotides) under uncultured bacterium. RNAcentral's name for it is "bacterial SSU rRNA". It matches the Rfam family "Bacterial small subunit ribosomal RNA", at positions 8 to 896 of the family's 1533-position model. The record is from RNAcentral.